RNAcentral lists this ribosomal RNA (292 nucleotides) under uncultured bacterium. RNAcentral's name for it is "partial 16S ribosomal RNA". It matches the Rfam family "Bacterial small subunit ribosomal RNA", at positions 337 to 646 of the family's 1533-position model. The record is from RNAcentral.
ACCUACGGGGCGCAGCAGUGGGGAAUAUUGCACAAUGGGGGAAACCCUGAUGCAGCGACGCCGCGUGAGUGAAGAAGUAUUUCGGUAUGUAAAGCUCUAUCAGCAGGGAAGAAAAAAGACGGUACCUGACUAAGAAGCCCCGGCUAACUACGUGCCAGCAGCCGCGGUAAUACGUAGGGGGCAAGCGUUAUCCGGAUUUACUGGGUGUAAAGGGUGCGUAGGCGGGCUUUUAAGUCAGCGGUAAAAAUUCGGGGCUCAACCCCGUCCGGCCGUUGAAACUGGGGGCCUUGAG